RNAcentral lists this ribosomal RNA (372 nucleotides) under uncultured organism. Its description in RNAcentral is "bacterial SSU rRNA". It matches the Rfam family "Bacterial small subunit ribosomal RNA", at positions 526 to 896 of the family's 1533-position model. The record is from RNAcentral.
CGUAGGGUGCGAGCGUUAAUCGGAAUUACUGGGCGUAAAGCGUGCGCAGGCGGUUUAGUAAGACAGGCGUGAAAUCCCCGGGCUCAACCUGGGAACUGCGCUUGUGACUGCUAAGCUAGAGUACGGCAGAGGGGGGUGGAAUUCCACGUGUAGCAGUGAAAUGCGUAGAGAUGUGGAGGAACACCAAUGGCGAAGGCAGCCCCCUGGGUCGAUACUGACGCUCAUGCACGAAAGCGUGGGUAGCAAACAGGAUUAGAUACCCUGGUAGUCCGCGCCCUAAACGAUGUCAACUAGGUGUUGGGAGGGUAAAACCUUUUAGUACCGGAGCUAACGCGUGAAGUUGACCGCCUGGGGAGUACGGCCGCAAGGUUA